RNAcentral lists this unclassified non-coding RNA (1511 nucleotides) under Caenorhabditis elegans. Its description in RNAcentral is "Non-coding transcript of protein-coding gene inx-1". Lineage: Eukaryota; Metazoa; Nematoda; Chromadorea; Rhabditida; Rhabditidae. The record is from RNAcentral.
AUGGUCAUUCGACCGCCUAGCAUACAAAUCUCAAGAAAUGCGAACGAUUGAACCACGUUGCACGCUAUCCAGUUCAUCCCAGCAGUGCCGCACCUCACGACACUAAGUUCUCAAAGACAUACCUCAACAAGGACAGAAAGUUCUUGUCCGCCGGAAUGCUUCUAUAUUAUCUGGCGGCCAUAUUCAAGGGCUUACAUCCGCGAGUCGACGACGAUUUUGUGGACAAGCUCAAUUAUCACUAUACUUCUGCUAUUAUAUUCGCGUUUGCGAUUAUUGUGUCUGCCAAGCAGUACGUAGGUUAUCCGAUACAAUGUUGGGUGCCUGCGCAGUUCACCGAUGCUUGGGAACAGUACACCGAAAACUAUUGUUGGGUGGAAAACACAUACUACCUCCCGUUAACAAGUGCAUUUCCAUUAGAAUACGGUGACAGGAGGGCACGACAAAUCAGUUACUAUCAAUGGGUGCCGUUUGUGUUAGCGCUCGAAGCGUUAUGUUUCUACAUCCCGUGCAUAAUGUGGAGAGGACUGCUGCACUGGCAUUCUGGAAUCAAUGUGCAAUCAUUGACUCAAAUGGCAUGCGAUGCACGAAUGAUGGAUGCUGAUGCCAGGGCAGCCACCGUGCAGACAAUUGCAGGGCACAUGGAAGACGCUCUUGAAAUUCAACGAGAGGUCACCGAUGUGUCGGGCAUGUGUGUCCAGAAGCGAUGGGCAAACUAUGUGACAUUACUAUAUGUAUUUAUUAAAAUGCUCUACCUUGGAAAUGUUGUAUUACAAGUGUUUAUGUUAAACAGUUUCCUUGGUACUGACAACCUUUUUUACGGCUUUCACAUUUUGAGAGAUUUGUUGAAUGGUCGUGAAUGGGAAGUUAGUGGGAACUUUCCACGUGUAACUAUGUGUGAUUUCGAGGUACGAGUACUGGGUAAUGUGCAUCAUCAUACAGUCCAAUGCGUGCUAAUGAUUAACAUGUUUAAUGAGAAAAUAUUUUUGUUCCUUUGGUUCUGGUACUUCAUGGUAGCUUUUGUGUCAGCAGUGUCCAUGUUCCAUUGGAUUAUUAUAUCUUUCUUACCAGGACAGCACAUGAAGUUCAUCAGAAAAUAUCUACGAGCUACAGAUUUGGCAACUGACAGGCAGUCGGUGAAAAAGUUUGUUCACAAGUUCCUCGGAUAUGAUGGAGUGUUUUGUAUGAGAAUGAUUUCGGCACAUGCUGGAGAUAUUCUUGCUACAGAACUAAUUGUUGCUCUGUGGCAUAACUUCAAUGAUCGUGUCAGGAAGAUACAAUUCAACUCAACGGAAUCCCUCAACCACUAACCACCACAACUCACCACUACCUCCAGCCAACACAGUCCAAUCGAGAUGUUCGAAGGCGGUGUCACUCAGUCACCUAGCAAAUUAGACGCCAAUUUCAAAACGUGGCUUCUCGGCCAGACGAGGGGCAAGCCGCCCUUCGACGGCUCAAAUCCGACGCGUGGAAAGAAACGCCGAAAAUCAGAUGGUUACUUCACGUUCGUCUAA